RNAcentral lists this ribosomal RNA (827 nucleotides) under uncultured Corynebacterium sp. RNAcentral's name for it is "bacterial SSU rRNA". It matches the Rfam family "Bacterial small subunit ribosomal RNA", at positions 62 to 903 of the family's 1533-position model. Lineage: Bacteria; Bacillati; Actinomycetota; Actinomycetes; Mycobacteriales; Corynebacteriaceae. The record is from RNAcentral.
UCGAACGGAAAGGCCCAGCUUGCUGGGUGCUCGAGUGGCGAACGGGUGAGUAACACGUGGGUGAUCUGCCCCUAACUUCGGGAUAAGCUUGGGAAACUGGGUCUAAUACCGGAUAGGACAAUCGUUUAGUGUCGGUUGUGGAAAGUUUUUUCGGUUAGGGAUGAGCCCGCGGCCUAUCAGCUUGUUGGUGGGGUAAUGGCCUACCAAGGCGUCGACGGGUAGCCGGCCUGAGAGGGUGGACGGCCACAUUGGGACUGAGAUACGGCCCAGACUCCUACGGGAGGCAGCAGUGGGGAAUAUUGCACAAUGGGCGCAAGCCUGAUGCAGCGACGCCGCGUGGGGGAUGACGGCCUUCGGGUUGUAAACCUCUUUCGACAGGGACGAAGCUUUGGUGACGGUACCUGUAUAAGAAGCACCGGCUAACUACGUGCCAGCAGCCGCGGUAAUACGUAGGGUGCGAGCGUUGUCCGGAAUUACUGGGCGUAAAGAGCUCGUAGGUGGUUUGUCGCGUCGUCUGUGAAAUUCCGGGGCUUAACUUCGGGCGUGCAGGCGAUACGGGCAUAACUUGAGUGCUGUAGGGGAGACUGGAAUUCCUGGUGUAGCGGUGGAAUGCGCAGAUAUCAGGAGGAACACCGAUGGCGAAGGCAGGUCUCUGGGCAGUAACUGACGCUGAGGAGCGAAAGCAUGGGGAGCGAACAGGAUUAGAUACCCUGGUAGUCCAUGCCGUAAACGGUGGGCGCUAGGUGUAGGGGUCUUCCACGACUUCUGUGCCGUAGCUAACGCAUUAAGCGCCCCGCCUGGGGAGUACGGCCGCAAGGCUAUUGUCG